CGGGUGAGUAACGCGUGAGGAACCUGCCUCAAAGAGGGGGACAACAGUUGGAAACGACUGCUAAUACCGCAUAAGCCCACGGCUCGGCAUCGAGCAGAGGGAAAAGGAGUGAUCCGCUUUGAGAUGGCCUCGCGUCCGAUUAGCUAGUUGGUGAGGUAACGGCCCACCAAGGCAACGAUCGGUAGCCGGACUGAGAGGUUGACCGGCCACAUUGGGACUGAGAUACGGCCCAG
This 233-nucleotide ribosomal RNA is filed under the name uncultured bacterium. RNAcentral's name for it is "partial 16S ribosomal RNA". It matches the Rfam family "Bacterial small subunit ribosomal RNA", at positions 103 to 334 of the family's 1533-position model. The record is from RNAcentral.